Molecule: microRNA precursor, 95 nt
Filed under: Microtus ochrogaster (prairie vole)
Lineage: Eukaryota; Metazoa; Chordata; Mammalia; Rodentia; Cricetidae
Description: microRNA 532 (ENSMOCG00000003399.1)
Rfam family: mir-532 microRNA precursor family (bases 12-86)
Source: RNAcentral
CAGAUUUGCUUCUUCUCUUUCAUGCCUUGAGUGUAGGACCGUUGAGAUCGUAAUUACCCUCCCACACCCAAGGCUUGCAGGAGAGCAAGCCUCUC